GACGAACGCUGGCGGCGUGCCUAAUACAUGCAAGUCGAACGGAGUGGCGCACGGGUGAGUAUUAUCUAGCUAAUCCGCCCCUUGUUGGAGGCCACCCGCUAGAAACGACUGCUAAUACCCCAUAGCAAGGGAUGAGACUAUAUCGUAUCAGCUAGUCGGUGGGGUAACGGCCUACCGAGGCUAUGACGCGUAACUGGUCUGAGAGGAUGAUCAGUCACAGUGGAACUGAGACACGGUCCAAACUCCUUCGGGAGGCAGCAGUAGGGACUAUUGCGCAAUGGGGGAAACCCUGACGCAGCAACGCCGCGUGGAGGAUGACACUUGUCGGAGCGUAAACUCAGUUUGUGAGGGACGCGGUACCUAUCGAAUAAGCACCGGCUAACUCCGUGCCAGCAGCCGCGGUAAUAC
Molecule: ribosomal RNA, 408 nt
Filed under: uncultured bacterium
Lineage: Bacteria
Description: partial 16S ribosomal RNA
Rfam family: Bacterial small subunit ribosomal RNA
Source: RNAcentral